UACGUAGGGGGCGAGCGUUGUCCGGAUUCAUUGGGCGUAAAGAGCUCGUAGGCGGCUUGGCAAGUCGGAUGUGAAACUCCAGGCUCAACCUGGAGCCGCCAUUCGAUACUGCUAUGGCUAGAGUCCGGAAGAGGAGAGUGGAAUUCCUGGUGUAGCGGUGAAAUGCGCAGAUAUCAGGAAGAACACCCGUGGCGAAGGCGGCUCUCUGGGACGGUACUGACGCUGAGACGCGAAGCGUGGGAGCGAACAGGAUAGA
Molecule: ribosomal RNA, 256 nt
Filed under: uncultured bacterium
Lineage: Bacteria
Description: partial 16S ribosomal RNA
Rfam family: Bacterial small subunit ribosomal RNA
Source: RNAcentral